This 482-nucleotide ribosomal RNA is filed under the name uncultured bacterium. RNAcentral's name for it is "partial 16S ribosomal RNA". It matches the Rfam family "Bacterial small subunit ribosomal RNA", at positions 29 to 523 of the family's 1533-position model. The record is from RNAcentral.
AGUGAACGCUGGCGGCGUGCUUAACACAUGCAAGUCGAACGAUGAACCGGAGAUUGCUCUGGGGAUUAGUGGCGAACGGGUGAGUAACACGUGGGCAACCUGCCCCAGACACCGGGAUAACCAUUUGAAAGGAUGGCUAAUACCGGAUACGACCACUUCGGGCAUCCGAUGGUGAUGGAAAGGAUUCUGGUCUGGGAUGGGCCCGCGGCCUAUCAGCUUGUUGGUGGGGUAAUGGCCUACCAAGGCGACGACGGGUAGCCGGCCUGAGAGGGCGGCCGGCCACACUGGGACUGAGACACGGCCCAGACUCCUACGGGAGGCAGCAGUGGGGAAUAUUGCGCAAUGGGCGAAAGCCGGACGCAGCGACGCCGCGUGAGGGACGAAGGUCUUCGGAUUGUAAACCUCUUUCAGCAGGGAUGAAGCGAAAGUGACAGUACCUGCAGAAGAAGCACCGGCUAACUACGUGCCAGCAGCCGCCGUAA